CCUACGGGAGGCAGCAGUGAGGAAUAUUGGUCAAUGGACGAGAGUCUGAACCAGCCAAGUAGCGUGAAGGAUGACUGCCCUAUGGGUUGUAAACUUCUUUUAUAAAGGAAUAAAACGAGGCACGUGUGCCUUUUUGCAUGUACUUUAUGAAUAAGGAUCGGCUAACUCCGUGCCAGCAGCCGCGGUAAUACGGAGGAUCCGAGCGUUAUCCGGAUUUAGUGGGUUUAAAGGGAGAGUAGAUGGGGUGUUAAGUCAGUUGUGAAAGUUUGCGGCUCAACCGUAAAAUUGCAAUUGAUACUGGUAGUGUUGAGUACAGUUGAGGUAGGCGGAAUUCGUGGUGUAGCGGUGAAAUGCUUAGAUAGCACGAAGAACCCCGAGUGCGAAGGCAGCUUACUAAACUGUGACUGACAUUGAUGCUCGAAAGUGUGGGUAUCAAACAGGAUUAGAUACCCUAGUAGUC
RNAcentral lists this ribosomal RNA (460 nucleotides) under uncultured bacterium. RNAcentral describes it as "partial 16S ribosomal RNA". It matches the Rfam family "Bacterial small subunit ribosomal RNA", at positions 338 to 795 of the family's 1533-position model. The record is from RNAcentral.